This is a long non-coding RNA of Cololabis saira (Pacific saury), 679 nucleotides long. RefSeq lists it as uncharacterized. The transcript has 3 exons. Lineage: Eukaryota; Metazoa; Chordata; Actinopteri; Beloniformes; Belonidae. The record is from RefSeq and is a predicted model, not a curated record.
AGGAUGAAGUCAUCUGGCACAUGGCAGUUGCAAGGAGAAGGACCUCACCUUGUACCACAACAUAUGAUGGAAGCAAACCAAAGAAAAAAAGAAUUACUGCAACUUCCAGUCUCACUUCAGAUGAAGAUGAAACACAGAUUGACCCAUCACAAGUUCUUCAAACAAAUAUACAGUUAUUGCUGAAUUUCCAGGAACAACUGUGUCUGAUGUGAGAGCAGUGAUUCGGAGAAAAUGUAACAAUGAGAAUUUUGUGACCAAAAAGAAACAGUAAGCAGUAACAUCAGUAACUGAUUGUAAUAGUUUUUGUUUGUUUAUUUUUUGGUGGACAUACAUUUUGAGUUUACACAAACUGUGUCAAUGUUUCAAAAGUCAGUUUAAUGUUAAUUUCUGUCAUUACUAGCUUCUCUGCGGUGCACAGCUAGCACAUCUAUUGUUUCUUCUGAAGAUGAAGCUGUUCAGGUCUCUGUAAAAUUUGUUGAUAAACUUUUUUCUUUUUUUUUUGUGAACUUAAUAUUACUAAAAAUAAUUAUCUGGGGUCAAAUGAUCCAAAUUUGAAAAAAAAUGUUACGAUGAAGAGAAACUGUUUGAAAAUGUUGUUUAGAUGUACUGUACCAACACUAAACUUUACAUCUUUAAGUUGUACUUAAAUGUACUUGAUUUAUGCACAUUUUUCCUGCAA